AGUCGAACGGCAGCGCGGGGCAACCUGGCGGCGAGUGGCGAACGGGUGAGUAAUAUAUCGGAACGUACCCUGGAGUGGGGGAUAACGUAGCGAAAGUUACGCUAAUACCGCAUACGAUCUAAGGAUGAAAGCAGGGGACCGCAAGGCCUUGUGCUCCUGGAGCGGCCGAUAUCUGAUUAGCUAGUUGGUGGGGUAAAGGCCUACCAAGGCAUCGAUCAGUAGCUGGUCUGAGAGGACGACCAGCCACACUGGAACUGAGACACGGUCCAGACUCCUACGGGAGGCAGCAGUGGGGAAUUUUGGACAAUGGGCGCAAGCCUGAUCCAGCAAUGCCGCGUGAGUGAAGAAGGCCUUCGGGUUGUAAAGCUCUUUUGUCAGGGAAGAAACGGGUGAAGCUAAUAUCUUUGCCUAAUGACGGUACCUGAAGAAUAAGCACCGGCUAACUACGUGCCAGCAGCCGCGGUAAU
This 467-nucleotide ribosomal RNA is filed under the name uncultured bacterium. RNAcentral's name for it is "bacterial SSU rRNA". It matches the Rfam family "Bacterial small subunit ribosomal RNA", at positions 60 to 524 of the family's 1533-position model. The record is from RNAcentral.